RNAcentral lists this ribosomal RNA (460 nucleotides) under uncultured bacterium. RNAcentral's name for it is "partial 16S ribosomal RNA". It matches the Rfam family "Bacterial small subunit ribosomal RNA", at positions 338 to 795 of the family's 1533-position model. The record is from RNAcentral.
CCUACGGGAGACAGCAGUGAGGAAUAUUGAUCAAUGGGCGCUAGCCUGAACCAGCCAAGUAGCGUGAAGGAUGACUGCCCUACGGGUUGUAAACUUCUUUUAUAUGGGAAUAAAGUGCAGUAUGUAUACUGCUUUGCAUGUACCUUAUGAAUAAGGAUCGGCUAACUCCGUGCCAGCAGCCGCGGUAAUACGGAGGAUCCGAGCGUUAUCCGGAUUUAUUGGGUUUAAAGGGAGCGUAGGCGGGUUGUUAAGUCAGUUGUGAAAGUUUGCGGCUCAACCGUAAAAUUGCAGUUGAUACUGGCAGCCUUGAGUACAGUAGAGGUAGGCGGAAUUCGUGGUGUAGCGGUGAAAUGCUUAGAUAUCACGAAGAACUCCGAUUGCGAAGGCAGCCUGCUGGACUGUAACUGACGCUGAUGCUCGAAAGUGUGGGUAUCAAACAGGAUUAGAUACCCGUGUAGUC